CGACGGGAGCUUGCUCCCUUAGGUCAGCGGCGGACGGGUGAGUAACACGUGGGUAACCUGCCUGUAAGACUGGGAUAACUCCGGGAAACCGGGGCUAAUACCGGAUGCUUGAUUGAACCGCAUGGUUCCAAUCAUAAAAGGUGGCUUUUAGCUACCACUUACAGAUGGACCCGCGGCGCAUUAGCUAGUUGGUGAGGUAACGGCUCACCAAGGCGACGAUGCGUAGCCGACCUGAGAGGGUGAUCGGCCACACUGGGACUGAGACACGGCCCAGACUCCUACGGGAGGCAGCAGUAGGGAAUCUUCCGCAAUGGACGAAAGUCUGACGGAGCAACGCCGCGUGAGUGAUGAAGGUUUUCGGAUCGUAAAACUCUGUUGUUAGGGAAGAACAAGUACCGUUCGAAUAGGGCGGCACCUUGAUGGUACCUAACCAGAAAGCCACGGCUAACUACGUGCCAGCAGCCGCGGUAAUACGUAGGUGGCAAGCGUUGUCCGGAAUUAUUGGGCGUAAAGCGCGCGCAGGCGGUUUCUUAAGUCUGAUGUGAAAGCCCCCGGCUCAACCGGGGAGGGUCAUUGGAAACUGGGGAACUUGAGUGCAGAAGAGGAGAGUGGAAUUCCACGUGUAGCGGUGAAAUGCGUAGAGAUGUGGAGGAACACCAG
RNAcentral lists this ribosomal RNA (660 nucleotides) under uncultured Bacilli bacterium. RNAcentral's name for it is "bacterial SSU rRNA". It matches the Rfam family "Bacterial small subunit ribosomal RNA", at positions 70 to 712 of the family's 1533-position model. Lineage: Bacteria; Bacillati; Bacillota; Bacilli. The record is from RNAcentral.